Molecule: ribosomal RNA, 367 nt
Filed under: uncultured bacterium
Lineage: Bacteria
Description: bacterial SSU rRNA
Rfam family: Bacterial small subunit ribosomal RNA
Source: RNAcentral
AAAGGGGCUUCGGCUCCGAGUAAAGUGGCGCACGGGUGAGUAAUACGUGGGUAACCUGCCUCUAAGACCGGGACAACUUGUCGAAAGACGAGCUAAUACCGGAUAAGACCACAGUUCCCGAGGGGACAGAGGUCAAAGGUAGCCUCUAUUUAUAAGCAAUCACUUAGAGAUGGGCCCGCGCACCAUUAGCUAGUUGGUGGGGUAAUGGCCCACCAAGGCAAAGAUGGUUAGCUGGUCUGAGAGGAUGAUCAGCCACACUGGAACUGAGACACGGUCCAGACUCCUACGGGAGGCAGCAGUGGGGAAUAUUGCGCAAUGGGCGAAAGCCUGACGCAGCAACGCCGCGUGAGUGAUGAAGGCCCUCGGG